GGGGAUUUAGCUCAGUGGUAGAGCACUUGCCUAGCAAGCACAAGACCCUGGGUUCGAUCCUCAGCUCCG
This 69-nucleotide transfer RNA is filed under the name Rattus norvegicus (Norway rat). It matches the Rfam family "tRNA". From Rfam's summary of the family: Transfer RNA (tRNA) molecules are approximately 80 nucleotides in length. The record is from Rfam by way of RNAcentral. Lineage: Eukaryota; Metazoa; Chordata; Mammalia; Rodentia; Muridae.